UACGAAACAUCAAACUUGGACAGAAAGUUCAGCUUCGUUAGAGAUGAUGGUAUGCUCCCACUGAGAUCAUUGUGGGCUAAAUCCAAUAUUUCCAAGCUCGACAUAUUUGAUAACUCAUCAGGAAUUGGCCCAGAAAAAUUGUUAAAGCUCAAGUCCAGCACAUGAAGCUUCACUAGACGGCCAAAGGCUGGCAAUAUUGGCCCAACAAGCUUGUUAUUUGAGAGGAUCAGUGAUGACGGGAAGCUACUGAGUUGGUUGUACUGCAAGCCUUUACCAGUGGAAGUCGAAUUCUUCUUGACGAAUAAUGGGAGGUCUCCUGUUGACGCCUGCCCACUUGAGCCAUUACUUGAAAUUAAACUCUUCAUCUGUGUAAAGGUUGCAGGAAGCUCCCCACUGAAUGAGUUGUUGGACAGAUCGAUGUAGAAAAGACUGUCGAGGUUGCCUAACCAUGGCGGGAUCUCCCCAUGCAAAUUGUUCCAUGAAAUAUCCAGCACACUGAGGCUCUUCAAGCUCUGCAGCCAAGGUGGAACCGUGCCCAAGAGUGCACAGUUCGCCAGGACAAGAACCUGCAUUCUCUUGAACCCUUCGAUGCCGUCCAUUGGCAUGGUUUCACCACCACGGAAGUUAUUGGUGAGCACCAAGCUAGUUAAGUUGGGCAGGUGCUGCAAGACUUGCAAUGCUGAUGACAAGUUGGUAAAACCAUUCCCCGUAAGAGAAAGGUAUGACAGUGAUGUCAAAUUCUUGAAGCUCUCCGGUAGCUCCCCCUGAAGCUUGUUCCUUGCAAGGUUCAGCGUCCUCAACUCAGUGCACGAGGCAAGGCGAGGCGGUAUAGCACCACGCAGCUUGUUGGUCCCAGCAUCAAAGUUGUUCAGCCUCGUGAGCAAUCUGCAGUCAAUGGUAAUCUCACCGGACAGCGAAUUGUUCCUCAGGCUGACCACUCUAAGCAUCGGGCAGCUCGACAGGGAUAGAGGCAAUGUGCCAUUCAAUUGGUUGGAAGCCAAGUUUAAGGACUCCAAGCUCCUCAAUUUCCCAAACACAUCAGGGAUAUUGCCAUUGAACAUGUUAUAUGACAAGUCAAUCUGCGUAAUCUCAGUGAGGUUACCGAGGUCGUCGUCGAGGCUGCCGGAGAGCUUAUUCUCCUGCAAACUUAGUUUUCUCAGCGCUGGCAUCAUGUACAGAUCUUUGGGGAGGCUCCCAGUAAGGCCAUUGCCAUCAAGGAAGAGGUCGUUGAGCAGCUUGCACUGACCAAAGCCGGCCGGCACAUCACCAGAGAAGGCAUUCGCCGAGAACCGCAGGACCUUGACCGGCGAAGCGCAGAGCGCGGUGACGUUGAUGCCGCCGGAGAAGGCGUUGCCGGUGAUAUCAAGAACCGUCAGGUUCGGCGCGCCGGGGAACGCGGGGUGCGGCCCGGUGAACCCGUUGGAGGAGACGUUCACCACCUCGAUCGCCGGGAAGCCGCCCGCCGGGAACGCGCCGGCGAGGCCGUUCGCGCUGAGGUCGAGGCGCCGCAGGCUCGGCAGCCGGCCGAGCCGCGCCACCGCCUCGCCGCCGCGAAGCGAGUUCCGGGAGAGGCUCCGGUUGGAGAGAUCCAGCGCCACCACCCUCCCGAGAUCACAGGACACGCCCGUCCACGAGCAGCAGGCGGCGUCGCCGGGGCCCCACCCGACCAUCCCGGCGGCCUUCGUGUCCAGGCCAUCGGAGAAGGCCAGGAGCGCCGCCAGGUCGGUGGGGUCGCACGUCUGGCUCUCGGAGCGGCCGCCAUGGACGUGGAGCAGAACGGACACCACCAAGAAAUGGAAGAAGCAGUAGUAACCUCUCAUCUCCGCCGUCGACGGAAUCAGAAAAUGAACCCCUUCUUCCUGCAGGGCAUGAACAACUUCAAGAAUCCAGGAAAACAACUCACACCACCUUGCAACGAGGCAGCAUGAAUCUAAUCACCAAGAACGAACACGCUCGCAAGAGUCAAGACUCCUCCUCUGGGCAAGAAAUCCAGGAGCGCAAGAACGGGAAAUUCCCUCUCAUUCCGUCCGCCACAUGAGCUGGAUCGCAAGAUUGUGAGGCGCCGAAAGAGGAGGAUGGCAUCACAGGAGGAAGAAGAAGAAGAGGAGGAGAGUGGGGGAAAGUCAGAGGAGAGAAAGAGACGGUUGGUUUUGACUCCAAUGCGGCUCUCAUCAGCAGCCGUUCUUCUUCCUCCCAACCUCUUCACCAGAUUUGUUUAUUCAUUCAUCGCAAACUUAAAAAAAAUCAAUUUCCUCUCUCUCUCUCUCUAAAGCUUUCUCGUGUCCUCUUUUCUCUCACUCGCAGACUCGCUCACUGGUAGGCCGCACCAGUGCUAGUUGCGCAUUUGAUAUGGUGACGCAAAGCAAAGGCGGGGGAAAUUUAAUAAGCGGCGCGUAUUUUAGUGGAGAAAAUGGGUGAGGAAAAUAAAUGCCGGGUACUUCGUGGGCUGCUUGGACUUUGAAGAGAGAUAGACUGAGGGGGUGUUAGGCCAGUCACAAUGGGGGUUUCACUGGUGUGUCAUGCACAUUUAAUAGGGGUAAGACUGAAUAAAAAAUGAUUAUUUGCAUGAAAUGGGGAUGAGAGAGAAGGAAAGAGUUUCAUCCUGGUGAAACUCGUCAGCGUCGUUUCCAAGUCCUCGGUAACAGAGUGAAACCCCCGUUGAGGCCGAUUCGUUUCAUUCACCGGAUCUCUUGCGUCCGCCUCCGCCGUGCGACCUCCGCAUUCUCCCGCGCCGCGCCGGAUUUUGGGUACAAAUGAUCCCAGCAACUUGUAUCAAUUAAAUGCUUUGCUUAGUCUUGGAAACGUCAAAGUGAAACCCCUCCACUGUGGGGAUUGUUUCAUAAAAGAUUUCAUUUGAGAGAAGAUGGUAUAAUAUUUUGGGUAGCCGUGCAAUGACACUAGCCAUUGUGACUGGCCUUACAUCGAAACGUUUCAACACCAGUAUAAAAUAUUAAAUAUAGGUUAAAAAAUAACUAGUUGUAUAAAAUACGACUAAUUUAUGAGACGAAUAUUUUAAGUCUACUUGCUUCAUGUCAACACCCGUAUAAAAUAUUAAAUAUAGGUUAAAAAAUAACUAGUUGUACAGAAUGCGACUAAUUUACGAGACGAAUAUUUUAAGUCUACUUGUUUCAUGUUUUGACAAUUUUACUAAUGAUGGAUUAAUUAUGUUUAAUAAAUUUAUCUCAUGGUUUACUGACGAAUUAUGUAAUUGGUUUUCUUUGUAGUGUAUGAACUCCCCAUAUAACACCUUAUAUAAUACCUUAUAUGACACGUUAAACUUUACACCUUGAUCUAAACACCCUCUCUUGGGCCGUGUUUAGAUCCAAACUUCCAACUUUUUCCAUCACGUUAAUCUAUCAUACAUAACUUUUUAGUCACAUCGUAUCAAUUUUAAUCCAAACUAGUAACUUUGGAAGUACCUAAACACACUCUUGAAGAAUAAGAGAAAGAGAAAGGGGCAGGUCAGAGUCAAGUCGAUGGCGACUGCAACGGGUGGAGCAAUUGGUGGACGGGUUACUGUUACCACUAAGCUACGAGUAACGACGGGUCUGCGCUGCAACAUCAAUGCGUGGAUGGAUGGAUCCGAUGCUGCUGCUGGUGGUGGUAGAACUGUGGAGACAGUAGAGGAUUAUUUUUCCCCGAUCAUUUCACACAUAUUAAUACAUAGUAAUAAAAAGACUACAAUAUAUGUAUUUUGGCCUGGUUUAGUUCCCAAUUAUUUCUUCAAACUUUCAAUUUUUCCAUUACAUCAAAACUUUCUUACAAACACAAACUUUCAACUUUUCCGUCACAUCGUUCCAAUUUCAAUCAAAUUUCUAAUUUUGACGUGAACUCAACACACUCUUUAUCAAAUUAUAUUGUAACUAUUCUUUAUUUAUCUAUUUUCAAUGUAAUUAUUCUCUGUUUUCAUAGACUCCAAUGUAAUAACUAUUUAAAAAUAAACUUAUUUUUGGAUAAAUGGGAGAAAAAUGAAUUUACUAUGAAGCGAUGAACUAAGUGGUAGUAACUGUUCACUUGCUCAGUAUUAAUAUGAGCUUUUGCUUACGCUGGGAGAACCAAGAACAGUGGAGUAUAAUGUCCAUCUUUUUUUUUUAAGAAAAUGUCAUGAUACAAAUUCCUGUGUUUUAAAGAAGACCACCAUUGUUGUUGGAAAAUAUGCAAUUUUUUAUGUAGUUGCUGAAAAUGUUCACUACAUGUAUGCACAAAAUUUACUGUGGUUUUAGACCUGGUUUGAUGCUAAAUUUUGCCACACUUCCGAUCAGUUUUUCUUCUUUUGGGGGAAUCGUAUUUUUUUUUUUGGAUUGACAAUUGUGCUAGUUCUUUUCAUUUUCUUCACUGGAUAAUUUUUUCCUAAUGCUGUAUGUUUGGACUACAUGUUCUAAGCUACUCCUUCCGUUCCAAAAUAUUACUAAAAGUUUUUGUUGGAUGAGAUAUAUCCUGAUACUAUGAAUCUCGACAAGUAAUAUGUCCAAAUUCGUAGUGCUAGUAUGUGUCCAAUCCAACCAAAACUUUUUAUAUUUUAUGAUGGAGGGAAUAUUCCAUAUACUAAGUAUAUUUUUAAAAUAUUUAAUUUAUCACUAUGACGAAUAAGGCCAUGUUUAGAUUCCAACUUUUUUUUCAAACUUCCAACUUUUCCGUCAUAUCAAAAUUUUCUACAUAUAAACUUUCAACUUUUCCGUCACAUCGAACUUUCCUACACACAAAUUUUCAACUUUAGAGUCACAUCGUUCUAAUCUCUUCAUACUUCCAAUUUUGGUGUGAAACUAAACACAAUCUAACCUGUUUCACGCUGUCUUAGUUAAUGGCUGCCAGAUUAAUCCUACAUUGACGAAUUGAUGAGAUACUAGUACUACGUUAAACGCUAUGGUCAUUUGCAGAAUACUCCUACUACUCUAUCCUAAAAAGAAUCCAAUCCUAGUAAUGAAUCUGAACACAUAUGUGUCUAGGUUCGCUGCUAGUAUUGGUUUUUUUUUUAUGGAGGGGUACACUUCUAGUACCCCUGGUACGUACUGCUGCUCCUCUUUUGGUUUUGAUAUGGACCUUUGCAUGCAUCACUGAAUUCUCUUUUCCAUCCGCUGAAUUUUGUCUGCGUGUAGGUAAUGCUCGUCUUUAUGAAUGUGCAGAAUUUUAGGUGAAUGGCUGGCUAGUUCAGCUGCUUGGGACAUCCAAGAGUAAAGCAUCCAAAGGCAAAGUCAGAGCUGUGUCCAGCGAAAAAAAAAAGAUUAAAAGACGGGUCGUGAAAUUGAAAAGAUGAGAAGGAAUGAAAUGGCAAAAGGAAAGUAAAGCGGGAAGGUCCAAGCUAGGCAGUGUUAGGCUCAGGGUUUUCCAAACCACCGAAACCGGGAUUAAGCACGGUUACCGCGCGGUAACCGUAUAAAACCGUGUAAAAUUUAUCAAAAAUUUAAAUUAUUUUUUAAAUUUAUUUAAAUUUAAGGAGGUUACCAUGAUAUUUCUAUUACCGUACCUCGCGGUAAGGGCGGUUACCAACGGUAAUGUAAACGCUGGUUAGGCCUACCAAUUACCUUGCUGGCGAUGCAAAGAUUUUACUCCAGCUGGUACUCCAGGUAACAACGCUAGAUAGGAGUAUCAAAGUUGUAGAUUCUGGUACAGUACGCGAAAAAUUGUCCUGAAAACAUAUGCUACUCCACUAUUCAACUUGUUGUAACGUGGAAACAAAAACAGCAACAGCCUAUUCAGGUUGUGUGUUUGUCGAUGUUGUUGUGGACGAUAAGCGGAGGACAAAUUAUCAUCUGCAUUUGGCUAGCUAGCUGUCCGUGCAACAAACGAACUGUAGACCUAACCGAUGCUGCUAGGUGAUCACUCUGUCAGUCACGGAGACAGACUUGGUUGUUACUCUACCGGUUGUUGGAUUUUCUCAACCAUCUUUGUGGCAACAGUUCGUUGAUAAUCAUUUUUUUUUCCUUUGGAGAAAAAAAAAAGGGGAAAAAACGCAUUCCUACUUUGGUCAAGCACGCUCGUCUACUUGGCGCAUGGGCUUAAACGCCUUCGCUGUGGUGAACAGUUGGACGUACGCAUGGCGCGAGACGCCGUGGCGUGGCGUGCGCGUGCCGACGCGUGGAGGGCGUUUUCCGCGUGCGAACGAAACGCUCGCUCGUGCGCCGCGGCCGCCGCGCCGCGCGCCGAGGCGAGGCGAGCGAGCAGCCGGCGCGCGUCGCGCGUCGCGGGCGCGUAUGCUACGUAUGUUCAGUUCGACGCGCGCGUUGCGCGCGCGCACGCCACCUCGUCGGUUUCUUUCCGCGCCACCGCUCGCAGCUCGCCUCGGUGGAGGGGUGGAUCUCGGGGCCUAUAUUUGUUCUCUGACUCCCAUAUUCGUCCUCGGAUUCCUCCUCUCGAGUCCUAUAUUCGUCCUCUAGGAUUCCAUAUUCAUCUUCUAGGGUUUCAUAUUCGUUCUCUGGAAUCCCAUAUUCAUUUUCUAGGGUUUCAUACUCCUCCUCUCGAGUCCUAUAUUCAUCUUCUAGGGUUUUACAUGAGUCAGCUCAACCCAUAGGGCUCGGUUGUUUGAGCUCAUUAUCUUAACGACUCUGCUCGGUUCGUUAGCGCUAACAAGCUAUAAAAGAUUAGGUUGGUUUGGAAGCUACUCUUUUUUUUCACAUUAUAAAUUAUUUUACAUCUUUUGAUCAAUUUUUUUUAAGUUUGAUCAAGUUUAUAAAAAAUAUACUAAUAUUUUCAAUUCAAAAGAAACAUAUUAUCAAUAUAUUUAAUAUUAACUUUAAUAAAACUAAUUUGGUAUUAUACAUGUUACUAUUUUUUUUAUAAAUUUGAUGAAACAUAAAGAAUAUUGACUAUGAAAAAGUCAAAUAACUUAUAAUAUAAAACAGAGAGAGUAGCUAGAUAAAUUCGUUAGGCUAUCGAGCUAUACCUCUAAGUAUAUAUGAAGACUAUGAGUUCAAAUCAAUCCGAAUCACGAGCUUUUAAGUUUUUUUUUGUCCACACCUACCUCGGUGGCUGGCUUGGCUUUGCUUUUUCCGCCUAUAUUCUUUGCUCCGCCCUGCAAGCAAAGCGGCUUCUCAAAUUGCCCAUGCAUCCGUUUCCACUGGACCUUCUCCUACGCAAAUUGCUCAUGCAUCUGUUUCCACUAGACCGGGCACGUUUUCGCGACCCGUUUUUGGACCGAUUCUCUCGUCCGUUAUUUUCAGCGAAUUUCUCUAGAAACGGCGACUGCGAUUCGGGCCGUCCUAUUUUUACUCGGUCUGAAACUAAGAAACACAUGCAUGGACGACGUUGCUAGCUAAUACUAAUAUUUAGUAUUACACGGUUUGACACUAUAUAUUCACAACAAAUUAAGACGACUGUAUAUGAAAGCGAUUAAAUUAGUGAGGACUCAGGGUCGACCCGGUUCUUCAUUUCUUUGCAUCUUAUUCACCAGAAUAUUGAAACGGAUUGUUUGCUCAUAUUUCAAAUAUUAUGUUUUCUUUAAAAACUUCCCUUUAGCUUAGACCAUUUAUUUUAACUAUCUAUUAAAUUUAUUUCUUAAAAUAUUUAAUAUAUUUAAUUUAUCACUAUAAUCGAGUAGAUAUAUAAUUCGUAGCAAUAAUUUACCUAAUAAUCUAAUCAAACAGCUAGCUAUAGGGAGGAUCAAUGGUGAGCAUGCAUUUUUGGUUUUUCUUCCUCUUCUUAUUUUUUUUAGAGAAAAUCCUUCCUCUUCUUUUUUAAAAAGAGAGCAAAGCAUUAGAAUUUGGCCAAGUGGCUAUAUAUGAAAGAGCAGUAGAGUCCUCAAUGCGGUUGGCAAGGUAGCUUUGUUCACACUUUUGGAAAGUUAUAUUUGGGGCCCUUGAUAUCUUGAGUGUAGCCCAGAAAAGGCCAUCGUUUCUGUUUGACUCUUACCUUGGUUCGUUAAAAAAAAAGCUUGUGUGGCAUUUUUCAAAGCCAAUUAGAUGGCAAUUUGACCAUUAAACUUUGUUAUCGCUUUGUGCCAAAGUAUACUAACUAGUGUCUCAAUAUUAGUAGUAACCAAUUGUGUAGCGAGUCACAAGUGACACCUCAAAUUAAAGUUGUGUCCUACUAGUAGCUAUAGCAGCCAACAUCCUAUAUGCUGUGCUUGCUGUGUAAGCAAACAUCUAUGCCCCUUUUUCUAUGAACAACUGAACUGAACUGCAGUCUGAACAUAUAUGCUACUAUGCCUCAAAUGCUGAAACAUUGAAGAAUUGAAGCAAAGCCAUGCUUACUGCUCAAGUUAUACAUAGGUAAUCAAGCUAGGUGUUUCUUACACCGAGGUGAAUAUUAAUAACACGUUGACGCAGCUUAACAUCCGCGGCGUCCGUGACGGCCACGUCGGGGACACAUGAUCAUGACAUUUUCUGCAAUUUUGACCCAGAAAAUCUGCAGAAUUCAGCCAAAAGCAAGAGCCUACUGGUUGCUGGGAACGAGACGUGUGUUUAACGUUUAUGCAUCUGAUACUAGAAUAUGGAGUAUAGAUCAUAUAGACUGAACAAGUACAGAGAACUUUGCAUUCUCCAAUUGCAGAAAAGAGAGAUAUAUGUGCAUUGCUGCAUUGCUUCCAUGGCAAGCAUGUUUCCUUCAGCUUUCCACGAAAGGUUAAUUACUGCACUAUCUAGCUACUAGUAUUAGUAUAAUCAAUCGCAGUUAGCUAUCUCUAAGCUCACUGGAUGGUGUGUUAAAAAUGGCAGCUUGGUGCUGCUGCUGCGUUGACGUCGCCAAGUCAAUAUCUCGAACGUGGUGUAACCGUUGUGCUAGCUCCGAUAAUACUAUACUACAUUACUAAUAUAAUCGACUAGCUUUGCCUGGGAUCACGGUUCAGAAAGUUCAGAAAUGCAGAAUCACAUGCAGUUGAUUAAUUUAAUUAAUUAACCUUCUUCUUCUACUACUACCCCAAUAGUAUCGAUUCGAAGAACAACCUGGCUGUCGAUUUGCAUGCAGAUCGUGUCCUGUUCCCAUAUGGUGAUGACAGUGAGAAAAGGGCUGGGAUCAUACAGUGGUCAGUGGAGUUGCUAGAUCAUGUCAGACCAGAACUGCAUGCCAAGAAGAUAGUGCAAGCGUUGAUCCUGAAAAAGAAACCGAAUAGAUUAUCCAAGUUUUGGUCGACACACAUGACCACCAACUCCUCACCUAGUCACCUUGUUCUGCCCCCACACAAUACAAGUCAACUUCCCAACUUGUUUUGUUGAUGAGCAGGAAUCCAAUUAUUAUGGCAUGAUAUAUUGCAAAUCAAUAUAGGAUGGAAAAGGCUAUUACAUUUUUCGAUUUUCCUUAAUUUGUCAAGAACAAAUAAAGAGGCAAGAUUAACUAAGGACGAGGCUUGCAAGGAAUUCAUCAGUUCAGAGUGUAACAGUGGCAGAAGAGAUCGAUUAAUUAAAUCCCCUAAAUCAUGCCCUUGAUUACGGUAAGAAAUUAAUUCAUAUGGGUGGAUCGAUCACGUACGCACUAAGCCAGUCUAUGCAGAGAAACAUGCCAAUGCAUGCUAGCUGAAUUAAGCUUUGCAUUGCAUGUGAGUAUGUGACGCCAAGGCAGGCACUUUGAGCUAGCUAGAUGAGACAUUAGCUGCUAAUUAAUAACUUAUUAAAACUAAGUAGAACUGGUUACAGCUAAUAUUUAAGCUCAGUUCUCACCCAUUAACAAUUAGGGUAGGUUGAUCCGUUAGGUGCAAACCCACAAAAUUGUCAAAACCAAAACAAGAUUCGAUUCAUACAAAACUUAGGUUUCUAUAUGCCCAUAGGACUCUAACCAAGAAAACAGGACGACAAAAAAAUCAGAUAACUUUGACUUCAGCGCCAGUUAGUUAAACCUGCAUUUUUCAUACAUGGAAUCUUUAAUUUACUCCAUAUAUAUAUAUAUAUGCAUAAUACUACAUCAUUAAUUUCUGUUGCUUGCAGUAUCAUACAGUUGAAAGCGUCUUUUUUUCUCUUUUUGAAAAAAAGGUUCAUUUUACUUCCAAACUAUUUCUGUUGAACACUUAACCCCUAAGCAAUUUUUUUCAGCUUAUUUUACACCCUAAAUUAUUUAAAGCGGUUCAACUUGCUUUCUAAUAAUAUUUAUUUUUUUAAUGAAUGGACUGGAACGGCCAAUACAUGAAUGAUAUGUGAUAAUUAUUCGAGAAUAUAAAUAAAUAAAUUAACUGUUAUGAAACUGAAAGGUGGAUUUAAAACAUAUAAGUAUAAAAGAACAUAUAUUAAAAGUUCUUUUAAAAAAGGGGAAUUUGCAAAUUUGCCACCGGUUUUUUCAAUAUUACAAGGAUGCCACUCGAAUGAUAGUUCUAGUGGCAUUUUUGCAAUUUUCUAGUGACAGUCUUGCAAUAAUGAUUUAAAGUAGUGGUAAAUUUGCAAUUGCCCCUUUAAAAAAAUAACAUACCAUUUAGAAGCUCAGAAAAAGCAUGCUGCCAUUUGCAUUCUCCUAUUACGAACAGGUUAUAAAUAAUCUAGAAGCAAGAAGAGCUUGAAGUAAACGCUACAUUGAAACGUUUACAUCUGAAAGCGAGAUGAAUUUAAGUUUAGAUCUGCAAGACGGCAGCAAGUUCAGUCAACACAUGCCGGCGGCGCACGUGGACAGUCGUCGCACGCUGCAUGCGAUGGAUGGUUAAUUUGCUCGUCAUUUCGAUCGCCAGCCACACUGCCGCUGGAGCUAACGUAGCCACGUACGUACGCAUCAAGAUUAGGAGAAUAAUCUCUCGGACAAACGGAAGCUUACGCGAAAAUUUUGACCAAAACUUGUUUGUCUGAUCUGCAUAUGCACUUGGCAGCUGGUCAGUGGCAGCAGUCGUAGUCGGCGAUCUAACGAUGUUGUGGUCUCCAGCGAGUCUUAAUUAGGGGGAAAAAAUGAUGAGAUCACCAGAUCGAUCAGACAGCUGCUGCUUAAUCGUUCAUUAAAAUACCAGUCAUUGUCGAACAAGUACAGGUUUUAGUAUUGCAAAUUUAGCUGGAUUUUGAACUUGAUGUUGAGAGGGAAAGAAGAAAAUUUGAUUAAUAAGGUCUGAGUUUAUUUCAAGGAAGGUAUAUAUGAGAAUCGUACGUUGGACCGGCUGUACGUUGAAGGCUUGAAACGCGUUGAGCCGCUCACCUAUAUGUCCGUACCUAAGCUCUCUUCUGUCAAAACAUUAUCUAAGAAAUUUGUUAAUUAUAGGUUUGGAGAAAGAAUAAUGUUUAUGCAAUUUAUGAUUGAUGGUCCUUAAUACUCUCUAUGAUCUCUCUUUUAGCGUUUGAGUGUGUGUUUGGCUGUGUGCAUUUUAGUGAUGCCGAGUUUGGGAGUGCUCUCGGUGUAAUUGGAUCACCUCGAUGUAUACUUGACUGAGAUAAGUGAAGCUUCUAUUAUUAUAAUAAAACAUAUUUGUUUUUUUAAAGGGAUGUAUUUCUUUAAAGAAAAAAGAAAACAAGAAGGAGUAGACCACUCGACAGUCCUAUCCAGUUCCAGGUUUUUAUGUUUUUUGAUGGGUAGUAAGAAAGACCUCGACCAAAUUCAGUUAAAAAAAAAAAGGUCACGAAGCCUAGCCUCUCGACAUGCAGAAUCCGCUCUAACUCGUGCUUUGAGCUCCCUGUCUCAUAUAUGAUGUUGUUCACCAUAGGUCAUUUCUUAACACAAGUUUUUUUUUUAUCAAUGGACAUGGAGUGAUAUUUUUUAAACCAACUCCGUGCAAAUUUAACUGCAUUUAACUACCUCUAAUUUAAAUCGCAUGAAAUUUAGAAACUAAAUAUAUUACUUAGGUGAAAAAUUAAAGCCGUCCAUUUUUUGAACUUAUCAAAUUCAAGGUGGAAUCAUGUAUUACAUUAGGUUCAUCUCUCAAUUUAAAGCAUGUUUGGGAAGAAACAUAUUUCACAAAUUGCACAGUUAAGGGCCUAGCUAGCAGCAGGGCUCCUUCAGAACAUAUACAAAAAUUUCAGGAUUUUUACACGAAUUACUUCAAUUUUCAUAAAAGGAAUCUCUAAAAUUUCUCCAUUCCAAAGGAAGCCUAAUAUUGCGCGGAAUAUAUGACGAAUCUACCCUCCUAAUUUGUUGAUUCGAGACCGAAUCUCACAAGGGAAAAGAAGGAAACCAGAGUGAUUUUAGAUAUGGGUCCAUGAAAAAAAAAGAACUGGAUGGAUAUAUAUAGCUAGGAGCAUGAAUGAGAUGGGCCUCUGCAUUUGGCGUACUAGCUAUUAGCUGCAGGUGGUGGUGGUGGUUAAGUGUCAGCCUUUCAACUUUUUCGCAAAGCUAAGCAUGCAUGCCUGCCUUGGUGUGGUGCCUAGUAGCACAGUACCAGUGAUGAUCCUGUUCGAUGAACACGAGAAACCGGCCGGCCAUGGCGACUGUUUUCGCGUCAAUGAUCAUCAUUAGGAUCGCUUAAUCGCCAGGGAUUAAUUUUGACGUGCAUGCCCAGGCGACCACCACUGCUAAUGCAAGCAUAGGUUACCACUUGUGUGUUGAUUCCAAAUUGUGCCAUUUCCACUUCUAGUGCCGUGCAUUUAUUCAUGCCUGCAUUUCACUUUCACUUCACGUGGGUUCCUUGAUUCGUUGCUAAUUUUCUUUAAUUUGCCACAGGCAAGUGUUUCUUUUUUUUUACUGUUUAGUGAUUUGCUAUAUGUUCAAACUGUAAUUAAGCCGCUGGUCAAUGUUUUACAGUUGCAGCUGUUCAAGGUUUGAAAUAAUGAUGCAAACCAAUUCCAGCUGAAAAUUAUGCGUGUUCUUUCAAGCUUCAGAAGUUCAGAUUCUGGGUGCUGGGCCAUCGAUCAAAAUCAACCGUACGUUUCCAAGAAAGUUUUAGUUGGACCAUCCAAAGGUUCUUGUUCUUGUUUUGACUUUGGACUAGAAAUGCCGGGGAGAAAAUGGAGUAUGUGAUUCUGUUCCUCCACUUGCACAGCAUUUCUACUUCUUUCUGAAAGAACACAGCAUUUCUACUUUGUUGGAGUGCAGACCACGACAUGGUUCUCCUGAUAGCAUCGUUCUCCUUUUUUUUUCUUUUUUGGGGCUUAUCACAAAAGAAUCUAUAGUGCACAUUGUGACUGCUCAAUUCAUCACAAAGUAUUUCUGUUGGUUAUUAUGAUAGACAUUUUCCAGAAAAAAAUCUUUAAUCAAUGCUGAUCAAUCAUGACAGACUGACAGUAUAGUUUUGAGUUUUCAUCUGGUGCUCCUCUUGUUUCAUUUUUUUAUGCUUAUUUUAUCCAUUCAUCUUCCACAAAGCUUUUAUCCAGGGAAGACCAAAUUGCAGGGUGACAUACACUGACAUGAGGCGACACCACUAGCAUCAUCAGUGGAGGUUAAUGCUAUCUGAACUGGGACUCAGAUGUCUGAUGAAUCUUUACACCCCGAUUAGUGGAGGUUAAUGGUGCAGGCAUCCUAGUUAACAAAAAAAGUCUACUACGAUCGAGUAAUCAUAUCAUUCUUUGACAGGCAGGUCAGUGUGCCUACUAAUUAAGCAAGGGAGACAUCACCUCAAAGUGCCACGAUUGCCAGGCAGCGAAAGGAGGAAAGACUCAUCAAAGUGCCAUGUGUGUGUGCUGCUUGGCACUCAAAUGGCCUAAAGGCUAGACUGGCCUUUCCAGUGCAAGCCAUCAUGAUCCGACGUGGCAAGCAGCACGAGAUGGUAUAUAAUGGCUACAUGCUAAAUGCUCAAGCCUUUUGUCCAUUCCAUUUGUUGCUAGGCUCGACUAGCCUUUUGCUCAAUCGAAUCAUUUCUCAAACUACUAGGCUUUUAUAUGAUUAAAUUCUGGAUGGGUAUGUAUAGACUAUAGAGAAUGCCCUCCGCUAAAACUGUGAAAAAUAGUACUUGGGCCGAAAUUUAGAUGGAAAUCCUGCCCAUAGUCUACAUAGAGAAUAGACUGGAUCCCAGGCAAAAACAGCCCAACACAAGCCUAUCUAUCAAUCUAUGCCAACCAAGCUUGCAUAUUGGCAUCUCAAAACUACUAUCUAGCACUACCCAUAUAUUCCAGGAACACUAAAUGUACACUAGAGUAAACGAAAGAUUAAAUUUGACAUGGGAACUAGGCAGGUAUGUAUAGCUAACUGGAAAACCGGCAACACAACCCAUAUGGACACCGAAGCAACACAACCCAUACGGACACCGAGGCAACACAACCCAUACGGACACCGAAGAUACCAGCCAUGACAAAGUUUACUGCCAGGGAUGUGCAACGAUUCACGUUCAAGUCGACAAGGUGACAGGUAACCUACAACAAACGAAUCCAUCCAACCGGUUUACACCACCUAUAAGUUAAACGGACCGACCCAUGGACCAUGGUACGACGGUAAACGCUUUUUGGGCAGGACGGUGUAUAACAUUCACAUCACAUGUACAGCACUAGAGAACGGCCCAGCAAAAAGCAAAGAGCGAUCAGCACAAGGGGCUGCAACAUCUACCUGCCCUUCUCUCGAAGAGUUGAUAGGGCGACGAUGGUAUCAGCUGCCCGAGCGACAUUGCUGCUGCUAGCAUCGUCUGGCCCAGACGAUUGACUGUGCACUCCACUCUGUAAAUGCUGGCCUUUUGACUCCUUAGGUACUGCAGUCACCAAGGAAGCAUGAGAGUUAGCAAAAAAACAAGUGAUGUUACCAACAAUGUUGUUCCAUGGCAAGAGUUUCCAAGCACCGUACUGGGUGUGGGAGCAUUAUACCCCUUGGUGACUGCAUUAGGUGCUUGAGAGUGCUGGCUUUCUGAGACCAUGCCUGCUAUUGGAGAUGCAUCGUCCUUAGGCUCCUUACUUGAUGCUGGAGGGUCAUGGACAUUCGGUGCAAUACUCAGAGAUAGAGAACCACGGGCCUCAGUGGCCAAAGCUUUAGGAUUUCCAUGCCCUGCACGUUAAUGAAAGCAUUGAUUAUCUACAUUUUGUACACAAGAAUAACCCUUGAAGUGCUACAGAUGAUCUGCAGUUGGAAGAGGGUAAACCUGGUGCAUGUACUGGACGUGCGGCACCUGAUGUCCCAUCAUGGCCUUUACCUGAAUUAAGAACUGGGCUUUGUUGUGAUGAAAUACUCAAUGAAAGAAACUCCUUGUCUUUAGGUGUCACUCUUGGUGCAGAAUUGAGACCUUCUGCACCUGCACAUUUGGAAUUUCCCAAUGCCAAACUAGGAACAAAAGAUUCACCGCCCUUUGGCCUGAUACCGGGAGGUGUCACUCUUGGUGCAGAAUUGAGACCUUCUGCACCUGCACAUUUGGAAUUCCCCAGUGCCAAACUAGGAGCAAUAGAUUCACCGCCCUUUGGCCUGAUACCCGGAGGAGUCACUCUUGGUGCAGAAUUGAUACCUUCUGCACCUGCACAUUUGGAAUUUCCCAAUGCCAAACUAGGAGCAAUAGAUUCACCGCCCUUUGGCCUGAUACCCAGUGGAGUCACUCUUGGUGCAGAAUUGAUACCUUCUGCUCCUGCACAUUUGGAAUUUCCCAAUGCCAAACCAUGAACAAGAGAUUCACCGCCCUUUGGCCUAAUACCCGGAGGUGUCGCUCUUGGUGCAGAAUUGAGACCUUCUACACCUGCAUAUUUGGAAUUUCCUAAUGCCAAACUAGGAACAAGAGAUUCACCACCCUUUGGCCUGAUACCCGGAGCAAAAAUCCCACAACUUUUAGAGGCAUUAUUUGGUUCUGUAGAAGCACGACCUGAAGGUCCUGUGCUUGGUCUAACAGAAUUGCAAACUUGCGCUGCGAGAGAUGCUGAUUUUCCAGAUGGCAUCCUUAAAAGGCCAUUAUGAGCUACAGGUGCCACUCUUGAUACCAAUGGAUCUUGCCUUUUGGCACAAUCAGUAGCAAUGUUUCCUGAUAAAACGGUUUGUAUAGGAGAAUCCCUCACUUUGGGUUCCACACUUGGAGAAGCCCCAUGUACGGGGCCGACAGAAGUAGAAGUUUCCGGCACACCUUUUGGUGCCAGAGAAUCAUAGCCCUUGGAAAUCAUGCCUGUUGCAGGAGUAUCACAUCCUUUGGUGCAAAGACUGGUGCUGUUUUCAGCUACUGCAUUUGGGGCAUGAGAAUCACCAUGCGCAACACUAACAAUUAAUGAACAAUUCCCAGUUUGAUCCAAAGACCUGUCUUCUGCAGCUGUCCUCGCAGGAUCAGAAGAUGCUAUUUUGCCAGCAGAUUUAUACCAUAAUGAUGGCUGCAACAGAAGCCAAGGACACAAUGGCAUCAGAAGAAAGGUGCAGUUAAUCACACCAGUACAGAUGCAGCAACAGCUAUGUGAAAUAUGAGUACAGAUAAACUGGUACAGUAAAAAUAAGAGGAUGCCUGAAACAAGUGAGGAAAAUUUCCAAAUAAUUUAUCCAAACAUGAAUUCAAAAGGCCUGUGCCUGUUUUAGGCAUGUUUGGCUGCUUUGAGAGUUCCCUAUAUUUUUUUCAAGGCCUUGCUAGUUUCCUAGCCCCUACCAAUUUUCUUAUUACUCGUUUAAAAAAUUUAGCAGAUAUUUCUUUAUUUGACAAAUAUGUGUGAUUUGAUAAACAAUGUGAUAAUAAACCAUCUUAUAAAAAUUGCAACACCUGAACAAAAACUUCCUAAAAUUGUGCCUGUUGUCGUAUGCAAACUUGUCCAUAAUGUAUUAAAAGUAUAUGAGCAUUAAAAGUAUCCUUAGUAUGGAUGUGAACUGAGAAAACAAGCAUAUGUCACCAGAAAUUGUUUCGAAGGAUAACAGCAGGGGACAGCCGACUUACACAGUAAUGAAGCCUCUUCAAGGUUUCCAAAAGCAACUUCUCUCCAACUAAUAUUAUCAUUUGCUUUACCAUCUCCUCACGAGUUAUUUUGUUUUCCUGUCAAAUAAACAAUUAAAACAUUUUAGUACCCAUCACACCAACCAACCACACAGCCAAUGCUAAUAAAUAAACACAGUGUAACUUGUUGGUUAGUUAGUACCUUCAGCUCUUCAUAAUGAUGGAAGAGCAAUUCCCUUGCUACCGAUGAUAUAUUUUCUUGAAUCAUGGCAAAAAGAACUCUGAAGGAUAUCCAAGGGGAAGUUGGUCCCUCAGCAUUUCCACUCAUUAUCUGCAUAAAAAUGUACAACAAAGCCAAGAUCAUUUGUCAUUUAAAGAAGGGAGGAACAAUCUGUAGUGAAAUUGGAUUGCUCUCAGAUCAGACUUCUAUUCUACCACUGUUAGCAGUACAUGCACAUCUAGCUGGAAAACCAGAGUGUCAAUGGAAAAGAAGAAACGAAGAAAACUAGGUUGCCUCACAGGUACAAGAGUAGAAAUAUCCACCGCAACUUCCUUUGGUGAUGGGUGAAACCAUAAACCCUUCAAACCAAGUAAAUAAUCUGAAAACAAGUGAACCAAAAAAUAUAUCACUCCACCUAUAUCAACAAAACAUGAUAAAAACCUUUAACUAUUAUUUAUCAUCUUACUUCGAACUUUCGAGGAAAGCCUGAAACUAACAAGAUAUUCUAAACGAAUAUGGGUGCUAAGAUGAGAUGGCCACAUGACGUAGCACUUUGGAUUUGAGCAAUCAUCAACACCAGAAUCAUAUAUGUCACUGCUUGGAAAAGAAUCUUGUGAUCCAGGCAUGACAGCCUCCAUGUUCCCCAAAAUCAACCGGCAGAGCAACAUAUAUUGCACUCCUUUUUCGUCAACAUCACAAAGACCAACACUGUCAAGCAAGAUAUAAUGUAAAUACAUAAACAAUUAAAAUGGAAUGGUCAAUACAUUUUUUUAAGUUUAUAAAAAGUACCUGGAAAAUGCUCGGUCUUCUGGUGAAAGAUAAACACCAGCACUCAAGCCUGCCUUCUCAGCAGGUUUUCCAUUGUUACCAAAACCAUUAAUUAGGAUCCUAACUAUGUCAUUCUUCCUAGAUCCCAGCCAUCCAUACCUUACAUUUGCAUCACCACGUUCUUCCUUGGUGGACAUCAUUUGUUUUUCAAAAGCUUGAAGUCUACACUGUGCAGUGAUAUCAUUCGGAGAGUAGCGGUGGAUGUGCAGUAUAUUAUUUGGCGUUGCAAAUGGACCCAUGCCAGAGAGGAAAAGGUCCUGCGCAAAAAGAAAGCCUUCACUGCCUCGUUCCACAGAUGCGAUCUUUUUGCGUAAUAUGUCUGCAGUGGCAGGCUUCUGUGGAACUGGAGGACUAGAUUCAAGGACAACUUGCUUCACCACUUCUGGUGGAGAAUUUGCAACCUUAUCCAACAUUAUUCCCUGUGUGGCGCCCUCAAAAUCACCGCCUACUUUAGCCACUUCAUCAGCUUCCUCAUCAAAGAAUAGAGAAGGAUAAAAGCACUUCCCAGUGUCAUCAAACCAUGCCACAGACCGCUGCUUUCUAGAUUUUAGGUUGACCAGGGUCAUCGACAAGAAAUCAACAAGAACAGGCUCAUCGUCCAUCACAGCAACAACACUAGAUUUAUUGCUUCUAAAUUCUUCAAUGAGAGACUUCAUUAUCUGCUCAGGAAAAUUGUGCCAAGAACCCUGUUUGUAAAACAUAACACGGCUGGGCACUCCACUUUUUAGGUAAUUGACACAAUCACUGGCAAGGUUAGGUCGAGUGCAACAGCAUUUGCAGCGCUUGGCAGAUGAAUCAGAUGAUGGUCCCUUCUCAGUUUUGAUGCGACGAGACUUGCACUCUUUUGACAGGCAGUCAUCAACAAGCUUGCGCUUCAAGCACAAGGAAUUGGAUUCUUGUGGUGAUGCCAUGGGAUAGCUCAGUUCCUAGCAGAACAAAUGGAGAAAGAUAAAAGAAUAAACUAAGCCUAAUAUGGUAUACAACUUAACAGAUCUCCCUACAUUUUGACUUCAGUGGCGGAGCAUGCCCUGUAUAAGAUAACAAACAGAUGUCUCGAAUACACAGCUAUAUCCAAUCUGUUCGGCUACUAUAUCUGUGAUAAUUAAAAGCUUUCUAAAAUAGUAAAAUACAUGAGAGCCCAAUUCGCGUUGCAACUUGCGAGCCAAGAAAUCUCUUAGGAACCAACAAAAGAAAAUUCUUGACUACAUCCUCCACUAGAUUAAUCCAUUAAAACUUAAGUUUCCAAAAUAUAGAAUACAUGACCAAAUGAAUACUCCAGGACCACCAAAUCACUUUUAUAUGCGCCUAUAAAAAAGGUAAGCGGUUCAAACAACUGAUCAUCCAACAAACAAAAAUGAGUAUUGCAGCAGGAGGGACACGUGAGCCAAAGGAAUAGACAAAAAAAAAAACAUCCCAUAACGACAUAGUAAAUUACACACACCAUCUCAAAACGGCACAAAUAGCAGUUCUCGCUAUCCAUAUCGCGACAAAGUGCAUUAAAAACAUUAAUAAGAAGCUAACGAAACCUAUUCGGUGACAUUAGCAGGCACCCAAACCCUAAAAAUACUAGUAGUAAUCUACACACGAAGCAAGCCGCUUGACAUUCUGAUGAAGGGAAGAAUAGCACCACCUCUACCAAUCCAUCAAACAGCACCAACGUAAGGUAUCCUUUUAUAUAACUAAAAAAUUCAAACCCUCCACCUGCUAUUAUCCUGUCUACUCGACUGGAAUCAGGGGAUGUGAUACGCGCUAAUCCGCUAAAGCUAAACCCACCCCGUCGACGACAUCCACCCAUCCAUUCCCUAGCAGUAAUCAAGCAAUCAGAGAUACCAACCAGGCCGACGGUCUUCCGAAACACCGGCGAGGCGACGUCGAGGCCCCCCAGAGAGCGGAGACGCACGCCCCCGUCGCCUGACUGAACGGCGCGGCGCUUGUUGUCCCGAUCCCGGUGAGAGACGGCGCCGGCGGCUGUGGCGGCGCGGCGAGGUAGCGAGGUAGCGACGGGGAGCCGGGGAAUCGAGCGAGCGAGCAGGCGGUGGCGGUGGCGGUGGCGGUGGCGCUAGGGCUAGGGCUAGGUCGCGACGCCACACUCCACCAGCAUCGCGCGAUGGGGGAAGGGAAGGGGAUUGUUGAGGUUGGGGAUGGAGAUCGCUCGCUCGCUCGCUCGCGAGGCCCGCAACUGCACGCGCCGCACGCCGCCCGGAUGAAGCAGGCCACGGCCACGGCCACGGACACAAACUUUUGUUGGGCCUCGGCCUCGAGAUAAUUUCGGCCUACAUUGCGAUUUCGGUUUGUGAAAAGGAAACACCACCGACGAUUUUUUACGGUAAGAAGUAUGAAAAGGGCAUUUUGUUAAAGCAGAUGGAGCCAUUGAUUUUCUUUUUAUUUUUUAAGAUGAAGAAUCUUGUUUCUCAAGUAGAAGCUAAUAUUUUUUUUCCAAUAAGAAUGAAAUAUUAUUUUAGCUAUUUUGAAUAACCUGUUGUAACUCAUAGGUAUUGUUUGGCUAGUAACAUAAAAUAAGUUCAUGCUAAUCCUGAAAACCAAGGGAAGAAUGGUGCAUGAAAGCAGUGAAAACGAGCAAAUGACAAAUGAAAGUGAAAAAUAGGCUGUGCCAACUCCCUAAUCCCAAAGCUCCAUAGUUCGCUCUUGAGCUUAUGAGCUGCAGCCAGAAUUUAAAUUUUAAAACUUAAUUUUAGAGUUACUAUAAAACAUUGUAGUCCUUGUUUAUCAAACCAUGCUGAGCGCAUCCACAUUAAAAAUCCCAGGAAAAAAAAUACAAUUUCCUAUGCCAACUCUAAAACUUUCAAUUCCGUCUGAGCCGCUCAGUUCACGAAACCAACCUAAAAUGUGUUUGAUGCAUCCUAUUGAUAUGAACAAAAUUAUAUACUACUUUCUCUUUCAUAUUAUAAGACUUUCUAGCAUUGCCCAUAUUCAUAUAGAUGUUAAUGAAUUCAGGCACACAUGUAUGUCUAGAUUCAUUAAUAUAUAUAUAUAUAUAUAUAUAUAUAUAUAUAUAUAUAUAUAUAUAUAUAUAUAUAUAUAUAUAUAUAUGGAUGUGGACAAUGCUAGAAAGUCUUAUAUCCUGAAACGGAGGGGUAGUUCAGAGGAGAAAAAAAAAACAGUAUCUGGCUGAAACUACGCAAAUAUAAAUGUAAACUAAUUACCUUGAAUUUGCAAUAUACAGAGUAUUCCACAGGUUUAUGCUAUAGCUGACUGACAAAUAGCACGUGUGUAAUGCAGAGUGCAGAGAAAAUGCAGAGCCUGCGCGCAUAUCGUAAAUGGGAGUCGUUGGCGGUGCCAGUGCCACUAGCAGAAAACGAGCAUUCAAGAACCGAACCCCAGAUGCACUGCAACUCCACAAAGGCAUAAUUAUUCGCUUCAGAUCUUUUACAGCUAAGCUGGGACUCGCAUGGCAGAAAUGGAUAGCUUCGCCCCAGCUCAUUUACACCAACAACAAUCCAUGGAUCUCUCUUUCUCUCUCUCUCUACCUCUCAACAAAGGCCUCACAGCAAUUUACAUGUACAGAUCAAAAGAAUUCAGGGAGAUCAGGUCAGGCAAAGGUGACAAUGGAGCACUGAUCGAGCAACACUCCCAGCAUUGUGUGUCAGGCAUGAGAGCCUGGCUGCAUCAUUGCUGCUGCUACUGUUGCUUCCUCCUCCAGUUCUCUCCUCCCAAACAAACCAAAAUCUGAUAACGAGAAGCGAAAAUUCCAGCUAUGAAAUGCACUUCUGAAACCGUUGUCGUGUUUCGCUCCGGUGACGACUACGCCUCCGCUUUGCCACCGUUGAUUGCGAGCGUGAAGUAUAUCAGUAUCAUUGUGCCCACGCUCGACCUGCGACGAGAAACAAGGAAGAGAAAUCAAAAUGGGUAUAAUAGGUUUGUAAAAGAGAAGGAAGAUGUGGCUUAGAAAACAAGCAGCUAAAAACACAAGCAAAUGAUAUUUGUACCAUCAAUGGCAUAAAUGCGUACCAUCAAUCAGUGUUUCUGCUAUGAAUACACAAAUAAUCUCUUGGAGCAUGCAAUACAGUUAAUGUGUGAACGUGCAUACUGACUAGGGCCUCAAACCUAGACAAAUGGGCAAGCAAGGGAUAGAGUACAGUAUGUUCAGGAAAUUGUGUAGCAGAUUACUAUGAUAAUGACUGACAAGAAAACCACGCCACACUAUUCAAGUGCAGUUGAACAGUACAGAGAAGCACACACCAGAACAUGGACCACUUGUGGGGGGCAUGGUACCAAUUGGAAACCAAACUCAGUGUCUCAGACCAGUUGCUUCAACAGCAUAGACAUAUUACAAUUUCAGAAAGGCAAGUGACUUACAGAGUUGCAAAGAACAGUAGGAUUUUCCGGGGGUGAACCGAAGUAAGUCGAUUAAACUUCUUGUUCCUUCCUUCCCCAGAGUCAGUUAGAAUAGGUGCACAGGCAGCACAUUGUGAUUGUGGAGUGACCAAGGCUUUGUUCUGCACCAGGGGCAUCUUAAGCUGCUCCAACUGAGAUGGCACAACUGUGGAGAUAAAUAUCCAACAAAAGGGCAAAAAAAAAAACAGCUGUCAGUGUUGAUGCUGUGGCAUACCAGAUGAGUGUAGUACAAUAAAAAAGGAAAACAAAUAUCCUUACUUAUAAAAAUGAUGCUAAAAUUAAGAUUAUUAGGCUUGGAUGUAAACAGAAGUACAAGCUACUAAAGUCCGAGAAUACCAAGCCAAUACUUAUUUAGCUAAAUGUAAAGUUGGAAUUGGAGAAACAAGGCUCCUCGAUCUGCAGGCCACAUAUCGUAGGAACAUGAUAGAAAAAAUCCGCUGGAUGGAAAUACAAGCAAUCACACAAAAGAAAGCUAGCCGCUUUUGACCUUUUUCUCAUCUACAUACAGCUCACGGACACAAUGUGAUGAUGGCUAAGAUCAAAUGGAACUUCACAAAGAUUAUGGUUUGAGUUGAUCCAAACAAAAUAUAAGCUGUUUGGUUUUAAGUAUGCAAAAUGAAAAAUUUAGAAUUACAGAGACUACAACUUUUUUAAGAAAAAAAGAAUUCAGAGAAGAACAGUAGCUUGUUACCCUUAAUAAUAAGUUUCUUCACCAAGUCAUCUUGUUCCUGCUCUUCACCGCUCCUCCUUUCCAUGCGAUUUGAGCCCUUGCGAGAUAGGGCUCUCUGCACAUAAAAAAUGGAAGGGUGGGAGAGUGAGAUAACCACUAUCCUUUUCUUUUUGGUCUUAUGUGAGUCAUUGAACAUACAGUCAUUUUUGGACUUCCAGUGCAGCAUUUAUCAGGUUGCUGAGGCAGCCCUUCAAUAUCCAAUACCACAUUUGCUGCCUUGUCCAUGCUUGUCAUCUGGCCCUGCAAGAAAUCUCUCACUUCAAUGCCAUGUGCAAAAUCACGUUUAGUAGCCAUAAGAUCUCAAAGUACUAAUAACAUGCCCCAUCUGCCAAUAUGAUUAUAUUAUUGUACUAUCAUCUUAUACAGCACCAAAUGGAAAAGUGUGCUAACAUGCUUUACCAACCACUAGUAGGACGUCUCCAUACUCUCUAUUAGUAACGGUAAGCAAACCAUCAUUUGGCAAAGCACAACAAAACAACAUUAUUAAAGCACCAGAACAAUUGUACGGAACAUAAUGAUUUCUUACAAGCUUUCAUUUGUAAGCUUUGAGACCAAACCAACUAAUUAUAAAGGCUGCACCUAUCUUACUGCAGCAAUCAUGAUGCAGUACACGCACAAUUCAGUAUCGCACUAUCAUUAGUUUCUUAUACAAUCUCCUCAAGCUAAUCCAACCUUUCAAUGUCUAAGCAAUACGAUUAAGUAAAGUAGCCAUACUUCCAAAAAGAAAAAUGCACAGAUACAAUAGCGCUACUAACCUGCAGUAAACCUUCUUCCAUAAGAAAAGCUUACCCCACAGCGAAUGUGAAACGUGCAACACGCCAACUACAGACAGGAAAACAAGCAAAUGACAAAUGAAAUGAAUGAAACUGACUAACUGAUGCAAACUAAAGGGGAAAAAACAGAUAGGUAGGAGUAAGAAACACAAGAACAAGCAUCAAGCUAGCAUUUCAUACGAAUAUUGCAGCCAAUAAGUAGGAUCUGAGAGGGCCGUGCCAAGAUUGUGAAGUCUUUUCCAACCGUGCAAGAUCCCCAUAUGUAUGCAAUGUUGCAAAGCAGAUAAGACAAACGGAUAGGUAAAAUUAACAACAGCAAAUGCAUCCCAAUUGGCCCACAUGCUCUCAAGCUACACCACACAUAAUGCUAAAACUAAAGCAGUGCAUAACCUAGUUGGAAAUGGUCUUUGUUGGGUCAUUCCUACCACUAGGAAUCUGAAGCACACACUUAAUAAAAGUGACGAUGUAAGAAAUGGGUCAGAACUAAAAAGUACCUUUUCACUGACUUUUGCUAUCCCCAAUUCCCUCAAGAUAGAAAUGGAUCGUGAUUCGUGAGUCCUCUCCACUUCUCUGCGGCCUCCUUGCUAUCUAAACCUGCAGAAGUAGGUCGCAGCAGUUUAUCAGUAUCAAUUUGUGCUGAAAAUGCUCAAUGCAAUUUGGACCAAUACUCUGUACAAAGCAACUAAAACUUUAGUUUGGCAGAGCAGGACUAACAACGAUUUUUUAAAUAAAAAGCAGAACUGAUGCAAAUGCAGUUCACGCGAGCAAUAAAAUACUGAUCCUUUUUUUUAGAAAAUAUAAAAGAAAAGACUAAUCUUUUCUCACAGAUAACACUGAAAACCCCAACCAUUUCGGAGCAAUAGCGGAAAUACAUUCCGGUAAACACGUCAAAAAUACUCUUAGUGCUCGCCUCACCGAUCAGCCGCAGCCUGCAGCUAACAAGAAUGUUAACCACGGCAUGUACCGCCUACCAAGAAGGAAAAAAAGCUUAAGAAAUUGCUGUAAUUUCACAAAUCCCUCCCGCAUUGCAUUAAACUCGGAACUUGAGACCAGUCAUAGAAAACCAGCAGCUACAUUGCCAAGAACCCAAACAAAACGAGUGACAGAUUUUGCAGCAAACAACCCAAGCAGCCCAAUCACACACGACGAACACAAGCCCCCAGCUUGGCCAUGCACAACAGCCGGAUCCGAGCCCUGGAAUCAAAGGGCCCGUGGAAUGCGUAUGAUUCUCCGCCCCCAAAAGAAGAUGCAAUCAAACAACAAAGCACAAGAGAGAGAGAGAGAGAGAGAAUGAGGAUGCUGCUUUAUUACCUGAUUUGCUUGCUCGUGAGUUGCUGGGUGCUAGCUCCGAUGGAAUGGCGCAAAAGAUUGAGAUGAGAUGUGAUGAGAUGAGAGGAGUGAAGUGAGGAGGUAGCAAAACUGGAAUGAUACCGGAGGAAGCAAAAGAAGAAGAAGCGGUUCUGGUAAUCUGGUUUGGUUUCCGUGGGUUUAGUUCACGAGGCGUCGUUGCGCUUUGGGGGAUCCGGGACCCACCUGUCCUGUACCUCACCACAGUUGAAGCCAAAAGAGGCGUGAACCUGGUCCACAGAGCCAGAAACCCCAGUUGCCUCGGCCGGUGGUACAUACUGCCAUGGACAGCGUCCAGCCAUCGGUAACUGGUGUGUGCCUGACAGGUGGGGCCAAGCGUGCGCGGUAACCGAGACGGUGACGAACGGUCAGACGAGGAGCGCUCGGCUUUCUCCUGUGGGCUGUGGCCGCGGCAGCGUAGUCCAUGGUCCGCGGCUGCGUCCGUCCACCACCUGCGCUGCGCGCCCCACGUCGUCUCGUCUGCAAGCCGAGAGCGCCACGACGCGGCCGCGCCACGGUCUCGCUCUCGCUCUCGCGGCCGCUACACUCGUUGUCGUCACGGGGAGCGGCAGCCGUGGCCGUGUGGGGGAACAAGCUCGUCACGGCUCACGGCCGCGUCGCGCUCGGUCGCCUCCGUUGUUGUGGAGUAAAUUUGCGUCGGUCCGGGUCACAGGCUACAGUGGAAUUACCCAACAACGGGGGAUCAUGGAUUUGACAGUUCAUACUACUCCAUCCGUCCCAAAAAAAAAGUCAAACCCUGAGUUUAUAAUUCGUAUUUUCAUUGUUGUUAGAUGAUAAAAUAUAAUUAAUAUUUUAUGCGUGACUUGUUUUUUUAAUUUUUUUCAUAUUUUUUUCAAAUAAGACGAACGGUCAAACGUUGGGCAAAUAAAUUAGUGUUUGUCUCUUUUUGGGAGGGAGGGAGUACGUUAGGAUGACCCCAUUGACCUCUAUUCAAUCUAAAGCGCUAGAAUCAUGGAAUGGAUGUGACCGGUGUUUGCUGGGGGUGCACGGUAAAGGUGCGCGAGAAAAGCGGCCAUGUCGUACGUGUAUCAUGCAUGGAUCUUUGCUUUAGAUCCCUCUGGCACGUACAACUACAGCGAUCGUCGGUUGCACUUGCAUUGCACAGUAGGGUGUGGGGGAGAAAAACAAAGGCUCGCAUCAAACUUGGCUCAUUUCAACUCGGACUCGAGUCGAGUUAUGUAUACUGAGGUUUUAGUUGGUGAGCUUCCCAAGUCAGUCAGCCUUAGUACAAAAGAUCAUCGUAUAUAUAGGUAGCAUGUGAUAUUUAAUUAUAUUCAAAUUAUAUGUAUUUAUUGAAUUCUUUGGUGGUUAGUGAAUGAAAUAUAGCUUUGUUAUCGAUCAAGCUCACGAGCCGAGCCAAGUUGGCUUAUUAGUGUUAGAAAACGAUAGGCGAACAAACGAUAAAAAACAAUAGAUCAAUCAUCAAAGACACGAGAUUUAACGUAGAAAACCCUCCCAAAACAGGAGAGAAAAAACCACGGGCACCAGCCAGCAAAAUAUCUUCAUUAUAUCUGAGGUAAGGUUACAACGCCGCACGGUGGUUUACAAGAGGUAUAUAUAUGGUGGAACCCUAAAAGGGCCUCCCGGCGACGGACCUCCGCUCCACUACGGCAGAAGCUGGCCUUUAUUAAGUGCAAAUGAAUUUGGAUCACAACUCAACAAUUAGGAAAAUAAGUUCAAAUGAGUUGAGUAUUAAUAAGGUUAGUUACGAAAAAUGCUUCGAACCGGUCGUCCAAUACGAGAGUAAAAAAAUCUGUAAAUUACUCAUCCAUAUAUUUCACUAACUCUCCUCCAUGAUGAACUCAUUCUUACUGCAAUGAAGCUUAUGUCUAGUCAACAUCUGCUUUCCCCUCGUCAUCAAGCCACCGCUAUCGCCCCCUCCUCCCAAGGCUCCUCUCUAUCCUUCUACUUUUCUAGCCCUCUAUAUCCUCUACCAUCCCUCAUUUUCCCUAAUGAGGCUACCAUGGAGAGACAAAGGAAGGCAGUAGAGAUGGUUUCGCGUAGGAGACUUCUUAUAGCUAACAUGUCCCUCACCGUCACCAAGAAGAAGGUGAAAAAGCGACACUGAUGUAGAUAAAGGUGAGGCCGAUGGGAGCAACUAGAUAUGCGAGGAUGUUGCACAUCACACCAUGGUCUUCGAUGUUACACAUAAUGUUUACAAUAUUACAAACACAGUCUCUUUUGUUCUGUAAAUGGUACGAUGAGUUCUUAAUGGAGCAGUCAUUUUUCCUUAGACGUUACAUUAUUUGAUUUUUUGUGUUAACGUCAUUGUUUUUUAGUGUUGCAUUUGAUUGAAACAUUUUUUUAUGGAACGAUGAAAUGUUUUCGACUGGGUGAUACAAUAUAUUAACAUUUUUUUUGUCAAAACAUGUUUUGCCUAACAAUAAAACAACAUUUCUUUACAUUACAGAUGGUAAAAACGUCGUCCGAUGUUUUGUCUUUUGUCGGAUGUUCGGAUCGUAGUCGCCUCCGGUUAAGGCUAUCCCCAACCCUCUAUAUCAUCUAGUGUCCAUAGCAUUUAAUACAUUGCCACAUAAGCAAAAAUGUGAUGUGGCAAAAGAGUUAAUGAGGAGAGAUGUAAAAAGAUGAAGAAACCAUUUCUCAUACAAGAAAACAUCUAUACACAGGAACCAAGAAUAAAAACAAGAUGAUAGAUGCAUAAAAGGAGAGAGAAUAUAGAUGAUUGGAUGAGAAUUUAAUUUGAAGACACCAUCCAUUUGAUAGAUAGUUUCUACAAGUAUGAAAUCUAACAGAUGGUUUCUAGGUUAGGGAUGGCCUAAGUAGCUAUCGACCCCCUACUGGUUGCACACUGCAGUCUUCCACGGGCACGAGAUGGCCGAGCCGUCUGCGCCCCACCAACCGACCUCAUCCACCUACCCCUACCACCACAUCCCGUCCCGUCUCCUCCCGCGCGCCGCGCAUACGCAUCCGCCUUGCGCGCUCGCGGCGCCAACCGAGCAAAAAAUGGCCACCGGCUCCGGCUGUCCGACUCCAGCCGCGUGCGCGUCACCAACUCCUCCGGGUCCUCCCAUCAGAUGGCGUUGUCCUUGCCUGGAUUCUACUACUACAUGCGGCUACCACGUUCAAACUCGCCGCUAAUCCGACGCUUUAAUUUGUCGGUAUAAAAAAGAUUAUAGUUGGGGACUUGGGAGAGCUCAGCUCACGUCGAUCGUCUGUACUGCACUUGUGUGUCCACCGCGUACGUACUGUAGCAGGUAGGUGUGUUUGCAGUUUUCGUGCACCUGUACGUGCCAGCCAUGGAGUUUGGAGCAACGCGUGACCAUUACUUUCUUUAAUGAGAUCGCCGUCGAUCUGGAGCCAACCAGCCAGCCAACCGAUCGAGAUAUGAAGCUGCCUGUUAUCUACAGUAAUCACCUUGCUGCUCACUGUCUCAGCUGUGAGAUGGGUCACUGAAAUCGCCGAAAUCAACAUAACUUAAGAACUUAAGAUCACAAAAUGCAUUGCAUAAUUGCUUCCGAUGUGAAUAAUUGUUCUGUACUAGUAUAAUAAUCCAUUCUAUUAUUCUGUUUUUGUCUCAAUGAGUCGGUUCAUUAUAGUGGGACCUAACCUAAAUUUCCGGCUGAUUGAGCUACGCCCAUUACUCGUACUCUCCAGUCUCCCACUCACGGGCCUGCUCCAUUUUGGUCUUCUCUGCAUCUCUGAAUUCUGAAUUUCUGAUCAUGCAUGCACCGCUUAUAGACGCAGGAAAUUUCUUGUGCAGUGUAUCGAUGCUGCUGCAGUCGAAGUAGUAUGUUCAUGUGAACUGGAAAAAUUCGGCGGAGCAGAAAGCAAAGGUUGUUGUCUACUGUGAUGGCACACAGAAAUACUAGUAUAAAAACAGCUGCGUUGGAUUGUUGCAGCCGAAGUCCCAACUUGCGGCUAUUUAUAUGCAUGUGUUUCUCUGAUUGUUUAUCUGUCGCGUGCGUACCUCGCCUGAUUUGCAUGCAGUCUGUGUAUAUUUUCAUGUGAAGCUGAGCUAGAGUACAAGCUGAUCGGUUAGUUAGCACUUAGCAGCACUAAUCUACAGCUGGCCUGUCGUGAUGAUUAAAUAAAGAUUGGACAGAAUAAUCCUGCAAGUUGAUGAGGUUUUGACUCCUGUAUAAUCGCAUUCGCAUGUGCCUUCUCCGUCCAGAGCUGCAACCAUACUUGAGCAUGUGUUUCGUUCUCACGGGCUUACCGUUCACUCACCUGGCUUCAAGUAGUCCACUCCUAGACUCCCCAGGUCCCAGCCCAACCAAGCAAAGAAUUAUUAGGCCAUUUCAGACUUCGUUUGAAUAGGGCCCUCAUUGGCCCAUAGGCGUAGAUAGGCCGAGAAAAGAACUGCCCAAAACGAGGCCUGAAGGUUACGGCCCAAGCCUGCGGAGAGCCAACGGAGUCGUCGUCCUCCUACUAAAAGAGCAUCCCCAAGAGUAGAGUAGUAGACCACCCCACCAAAAAACCAGUAUUUCAACAUGAAAAUGAACCUACAAAACGCAUAGACAAAAAAAACUGAACAUCAUAAUUUCAAUUCCGUUACAGCGCACCGACAUUAUACUAGUCAUAUAAAAGAGAAGAAGAGCUCUCCCAUCUCUAUUAACAAAACGGCUUUGUUCAGCUACAGUUAUUACAGAGAGAGAGAACAACUUGAAGCUUAAGUAUCCACCACGCAGCUAUCAACACUGGCACAUCUGUACCAAAUGGAAAUCAUGUCUACAAUACGAUGUGAAAGCAGCACUGCUAAAUGACACCUGAGUUGAAAACAAUCAAGACACCAAAAGCUGGAGAAAUACAAUAUACAGAGUACAUAAUUCGAUUGAAGAGCCUAGUUAGAACUAGUGGAGAACCCCGUCUGACUUUGUUUUAAGGAUGAUCUUUAUGUUCCCAUUUCCUUCUGAGUCUGUUCAAGUUCACCAUUGUUAUCACAUAAAACCUAUCAAAGAAAUUAUCAACCAUCUGAAAAUACGCGGCCCUCCAAGAACUUGCAAAGAACAGUACGUUCCAGACGGUUAACAGUCCAAAGGCAAAUCCAGCUUCCACGGUCAAAAAAAGCCCAAAAGUAAAACGUGUCUCAGAACUCAUUUCAGUCGUGACCGCCCGCUUGUAGCAUGACUGGCUCUGACUACGACACAGCGCAGGAUUGCCCGCGAACUCCUCUUCUGUGAACGUGGAGAAUUGGCCUCCUGCCGGGACAUCUCCAGACAAAUUGUUGUACGAAACAUCAAACUUGGACAGAAAGUUCAGCUUCGUUAGAGAUGAUGGUAUGCUCCCACUGAGAUCAUUGUGAGCUAAAUCCAGUACUUCCAAGCUCGACAUAUUUGAUAACUCAUCAGGAAUUGGCCCAGAAAAAUUGUUAAAGCCCAAGUCCAGCACAUGAAGCUUCACUAGACGGCCAAAGGAUGGCAAUAUUG
RNAcentral lists this long non-coding RNA (30229 nucleotides) under Oryza sativa (Asian cultivated rice). Its description in RNAcentral is "long non-coding RNA (OSAT_LNC000883)". The record is from RNAcentral. Lineage: Eukaryota; Viridiplantae; Streptophyta; Magnoliopsida; Poales; Poaceae.